Molecule: ribosomal RNA, 301 nt
Filed under: uncultured bacterium
Lineage: Bacteria
Description: partial 16S ribosomal RNA
Rfam family: Bacterial small subunit ribosomal RNA
Source: RNAcentral
CAGUCGCCACGGUAAUACGGAGGGUGCAAGCGUUAAUCGGAAUUACUGGGCGUAAAGCGCACGCAGGCGGUCUGUCAAGUUAGAUGUGAAAUCCCCGGGCUUAACCUGGGAACUGCAUUUGAAACUGGCAGGCUAGAGUCUUGUAGAGGGGGGUAGAAUUCCAGGUGUAGCGGUGAAAUGCGUAGAGAUCUGGAGGAAUACCGGUGGCGAAGGCGGCCCCCUGGACAAAGACUGACGCUCAGGUGCGAAAGCGUGGGGAGCAAACAGGAUUAGAUACCCCUGUAGUCCCUGUCUCUUAUAC